Molecule: transfer RNA, 71 nt
Filed under: Candidatus Woesearchaeota archaeon
Lineage: Archaea; Nanobdellati; Candidatus Woesearchaeota
Rfam family: tRNA
About the family: Transfer RNA (tRNA) molecules are approximately 80 nucleotides in length.
Source: Rfam by way of RNAcentral
GCGGCUGUGGUCUAGUGGUAUGAUGGGAGCUUCCCAAGCUCUAGAUCCGAGUUCGAUUCUCGGCAGCCGCA